This 274-nucleotide ribosomal RNA is filed under the name uncultured bacterium. RNAcentral describes it as "partial 16S ribosomal RNA". It matches the Rfam family "Bacterial small subunit ribosomal RNA", at positions 523 to 796 of the family's 1533-position model. The record is from RNAcentral.
AUACGGAGGGCGCAAGCGUUGCCCGGAAUCACUGGGUGUAAAGGGUGCGUAGGCGGGGCUGUAAGUCAGAGGUGAAAGCCCUCGGCUCAACCGGGGAAUUGCCUCUGAUACUGCAGCUCUUGAGUCCCAGAGAGGCCGCUGGAAUUCCUGGUGUAGCGGUGAAAUGCGUAGAUAUCAGGAGGAACACCGGAGGCGAAGGCGGGCGGCUGGACGGGGACUGACGCUGAGGCACGAAAGCGUGGGGAGCAAACAGGAUUAGAAACCCUAGUAGUCC